RNAcentral lists this ribosomal RNA (497 nucleotides) under uncultured bacterium. RNAcentral's name for it is "partial 16S ribosomal RNA". It matches the Rfam family "Bacterial small subunit ribosomal RNA", at positions 28 to 507 of the family's 1533-position model. The record is from RNAcentral.
GAUGAACGCUGGCGGCGUGCCUAAUACAUGCAAGUCGAGCGAACAGACGAGGAGCUUGCUCCUCUGACGUUAGCGGCGGACGGGUGAGUAACACGUGGAUAACCUACCUAUAAGACUGGGAUAACUUCGGGAAACCGGAGCUAAUACCGGAUAAUAUAUUGAACCGCAUGGUUCAAUAGUGAAAGACGGUUUUGCUGUCACUUAUAGAUGGAUCCGCGCCGCAUUAGCUAGUUGGUAAGGUAACGGCUUACCAAGGCAACGAUGCGUAGCGGACCUGAGAGGGUGAUCGGCCACACUGGAACUGAGACACGGUCCAGACUCCUACGGGAGGCAGCAGUAGGGAAUCUUCCGCAAAGGGCGAAAGCUUGACGGAGCAACGCCGCGUGAGUGAUGAAGGUCUUCGGAUCGUAAAACUCUGUUAUUAGGGAAGAACAAAUGUGUAAGUAACUAUGCACGUCUUGACGGUACCUAAUCAGAAAGCCACGGCUAACUACGUG